AGAGUUUGAUCCUGGCUCAGGAUGAACGCUAGCGGGAGGCUUAAUACAUGCAAGUCGAGCGGCAAGGUCUUCGGACCCUAGAGCGGCGCACGGGUGAGUAACGCGUACGCAAUCUGCCCUUCAGUGAGGAAUAGCCCUGGGAAACUGGGAUUAAUACCUCAUAACAUUAAAGAGCUGCAUGGCUUUUUAAUUAAAGUUCUGGCGCUGAAGGAUGAGCGUGCGUCUGAUUAGCUAGUUGGUAGGGUAACGGCCUACCAAGGCUACGAUCAGUAGGGGGCGUGAGAGCGUGACCCCCCACACGGGUACUGAGACACGGACCCGACUCCUACGGGAGGCAGCAGUAAGGAAUAUUGGGCAAUGGAGGCAACUCUGACCCAGCCAUCCCGCGUGAAGGAUUAAGGCCCUAUGGGUUGUAAACUUCUUUUGUUUGGGAAGAAAUCUGGACAUUUAUGUGCAGUUGACGGUACCUUACGAAUAAGCACCGGCUAACUCCGUGCCAGCAGCCGCGGUAAUACGGAGGGUGCAAGCGUUAUCCGGAAUCACUGGGUUUAAAGGGUGCGUAGGCGGUUUGAUAAGUCAGAGGUGAAAGCUAGCAGCUUAACUGUUAAAUUGCCUUUGAUACUGUCAGACUUGAAUCAAGUUGAGGUAGGCGGAAUGUGACAUGUAGCGGUGAAAUGCAUAGAUAUGUCAUAGAACACCAAUUGCGUAGGCAGCUUGCUGGGCUUGAAUUGACGCUGAGGCACGAAAGCGUGGGGAUCAAACAGGAUUAGAUACCCUGGUAGUCCACGCCCUAAACGAUGUUAACUCGAUAUUUAUUCUUCGGAGUGAGUGUCCAAGCGAAAGCGUUAAGUAACCACCUGGGA
RNAcentral lists this ribosomal RNA (863 nucleotides) under uncultured bacterium. RNAcentral's name for it is "bacterial SSU rRNA". It matches the Rfam family "Bacterial small subunit ribosomal RNA", at positions 8 to 878 of the family's 1533-position model. The record is from RNAcentral.